GUCAGGAUGGCCGAGCGGUCCAAGGCGCUGUGUUCAGGUCGCAGUCCACUCUGUGGGCGUGGGUUCGAAUCCCACUCCUUACA
Molecule: non-coding RNA, 83 nt
Organism: Schistosoma mansoni
Lineage: Eukaryota; Metazoa; Platyhelminthes; Trematoda; Strigeidida; Schistosomatidae
Source: Rfam